GAGUUUGAUCCUGGCUCAGAAUCAACGCUGGCGGCGUGCCUAACACAUGCAAGUCGAACGCGAAGGGGGGUUUCGGCCCCCCGGAGAGUGGCGCACGGGUGAGUAACGCGUGGGUAAUCUGCCUUCGGGUGGGGAAUAACGACUCGAAAGGGUCGCUAAUACCGCAUAACGCAGCGGCACCGCAUGGUGACAGUUGUUAAAGGGGGGGACCCUUCGGGGCCUCCCGCCGGAAGAGGAGCCCGCGUCCGAUUAGCUAGUUGGUGGGGUAAGAGCCCACCAAGGCUGCGAUCGGUAGCCGGCCUGAGAGGGCGGUCGGCCACACUGGCACUGAGAUACGGGCCAGACUCCUACGGGAGGCAGCAGUGGGGAAUUUUGGGCAAUGGGCGAAAGCCUGACCCAGCAACGCCGCGUGAAGGACGAAAUCCCUCUGGGAUGUAAACUUCGAAAGUCGGGAAAGAAAUCACCGGGGCCAAUACCCCCGGCGGAUGACGGUACCCGACGUAAGCCCCGGCUAACUACGUGCCAGCAGCCGCGGUAAUACGUAGGGGGCAAGCGUUGUUCGGAAUUACUGGGCGUAAAGGGCGCGUAGGCGGCACGGCAAGUCAGGAGUGAAAGCCCGGGGCUCAACCCCGGAACGGCUUUUGAGACUGCCGAGCUAGAGUGCGGAAGGGGCAACCGGAAUUCCCAGUGUAGCGGUGAAAUGCGUAGAUAUUGGGAAGAACACCGGAGGCGAAGGCGGGUUGCUGGGCCGACACUGACGCUGAGGCGCGAAAGCCAGGGGAGCAAACGGGAUUAGAUAC
RNAcentral lists this ribosomal RNA (800 nucleotides) under uncultured soil bacterium. RNAcentral's name for it is "bacterial SSU rRNA". It matches the Rfam family "Bacterial small subunit ribosomal RNA", at positions 9 to 785 of the family's 1533-position model. The record is from RNAcentral.